UCAUUCUUUUUGUUCUUUUUUCUCGUUUUUUUCUUUAUUUUUUUCUCUUAAGCU
This 54-nucleotide non-coding RNA is filed under the name Hemiselmis virescens. The record is from RNAcentral. Lineage: Eukaryota; Cryptophyceae; Cryptomonadales; Hemiselmidaceae.